Long non-coding RNA from Gallus gallus (chicken), 1266 nucleotides. The record is from Ensembl. Lineage: Eukaryota; Metazoa; Chordata; Aves; Galliformes; Phasianidae.
GUGAAUGAAACAGUCUUGGGAGAGAAGCGGUUGGUGUAUGGAACCCUGUGCACUUGAUGAAGUGCCAGCACUACACCCCUAUCGAAUCUGAGAAUCAGAGCAAGGUUCCUGUAGUAAACAAACUUGUGCUUGCUAGGCACUAUCUUGAGGAAUGUGUAUCCAAAUCUUGUCCUUAUCAAAAGUUACCUGAGCUCCUAGCUUGUUCAACAAAUUCCAUCUCAUAGGAGGUGUGCUUCUGCUUGCAGGAUGCCUGCCAUUGCCAGCGUGAACAAAAUCUGCUUAUAUCAGAGAUACCGUCCUGAUAAAUUAUUUGGAUAUUUCCAACACCUGAUAACAGUCUCUGGCCUAAAAUUGUUCAGUUAAAGAUAGGGCUAAUCUCCCUACAUGAAGGCUAAUUUUUCCAGGAUGCUCCUAUCUCAAAGAAAGUUUAGUCAUCACAUUGUGAUCAAGAGUUCCUCUCCUUAAUCACCUUAGCACUUUCAAGCGUGGUCAUCCUGACCUAGAUAAAAUACAUGUUUGUUGUAUUUAAUGAUAAAGAUACAAAGACUUGUAACCUUUGUAGGUUAGUUCUUACCUGACUGACAUUAUGUUUGACAUUGUUUUGAAGAAGUAAUAAAACAAAAUAUUCUGUUAAUAUAUCCUUAUAAGGGUAGCCACUGAAUUUUAUAAUAUGAUUAAUGCUUGCCUACAAGACCAUAGUAGCCUUUAGAUAUUGUGGAUGAUAACUGUGAUGUACCACUGAAGAUGUGGAAGCAUGUUAUAAGACUGUUCUGUUUAACAAGGCAAAAGAAAACACAACAAUGGAAAAACUGUGCCUGUUUUACAGUCCUUAUAAAUGUCAAAAGGAACAGGGACCCCCACACCAGGCCCAAUUAGCCUAAAAUGCGACUGACAAGCAUCAAGACAUUCCCCUUUAUAUUUCUUAUCUGUCUGUGCAGUCUCCUCUUGUUGGCCUUGCAUUCCACAGCAAUCUUUGGUUGAGACAGAAGGAGUGUUUUUAAAAGACAAAGACUGUUGGAUGAAAUAAGCGAGGCUAUCUAUCCCAAGCCCAAGGACUAACAGUGGACCAUCACGAUACUAGAAGGACCCUAGAUGACAUGGAAGAUGGAACGUUACGAAUAUGUAAUACAUGUGACAGAUUAUAGUGCAGGAACGAUCAACCAGUGGAGCAUUUUUGAAGAGUUAUCCCAAUGUUAUCCCAGUGCUGCCAAUAAGAAUAUGUGAUUUAAGGUAAUAAGACUUUUGCUGUUAAGUCUCUCUGCACAG